Molecule: small nuclear RNA, 102 nt
Organism: Sorex fumeus (smoky shrew)
Lineage: Eukaryota; Metazoa; Chordata; Mammalia; Eulipotyphla; Soricidae
Source: RefSeq, a predicted model, not a curated record
GUGCUCAGAAGCACAUCUACUCAAAUAGGAACAACAGAGAGAAGAUGAACAUGGCCUCUGUGAAAAGGUGAUUUGCAGAUUCAUGAAGUGGUUCAUAUUUUU